UUUGUAUAUGUUUUUUGUCAGCCUGGUGGCGCUGGCAGCAUAAGUAUGUGCAGCCCAAGAAGGUUGGCAUGGCCCCAUUCUUCCAAUUGCUGGUUGGAUCGAUGACUUUCUUCUAUGUUAUUAACUAUGGAAAAAUGAGUAUGUAUUUUAUCCACAC
Molecule: long non-coding RNA, 157 nt
Organism: Danaus plexippus plexippus
Lineage: Eukaryota; Metazoa; Arthropoda; Insecta; Lepidoptera; Nymphalidae
Rfam family: Sphinx conserved region 2
Source: Rfam